Molecule: small nucleolar RNA, 92 nt
Organism: Loxodonta africana (African savanna elephant)
Lineage: Eukaryota; Metazoa; Chordata; Mammalia; Proboscidea; Elephantidae
Source: Rfam
GUUGCAAUGCCAGUACUGAGACACCAGGUAGGGGGUUUUACCCUGCAUUGGGUGUUACUGAGGUAAAUUCUACUUCUUUUAAAUCUACCUGA